This 76-nucleotide transfer RNA is filed under the name Oscillospiraceae bacterium. RNAcentral describes it as "tRNA-Pro". It matches the Rfam family "tRNA". From Rfam's summary of the family: Transfer RNA (tRNA) molecules are approximately 80 nucleotides in length. Their secondary structure includes four short double-helical elements and three loops (D, anti-codon, and T loops). Lineage: Bacteria; Bacillati; Bacillota; Clostridia; Eubacteriales; Oscillospiraceae. The record is from RNAcentral.
CGGGGUGUAGCGCAGUUGGUAGCGCGCCUGCUUUGGGAGCAGGAUGUCGGGAGUUCGAGUCUCUUCACUCCGACCA